RNAcentral lists this non-coding RNA (28 nucleotides) under Mus musculus (house mouse). Lineage: Eukaryota; Metazoa; Chordata; Mammalia; Rodentia; Muridae. The record is from RNAcentral.
UGGAACUUCUUCCAUGGUUGUCCCGAGG